RNAcentral lists this ribosomal RNA (465 nucleotides) under Vreelandella stevensii. RNAcentral's name for it is "partial 16S ribosomal RNA". It matches the Rfam family "Bacterial small subunit ribosomal RNA", at positions 338 to 795 of the family's 1533-position model. Lineage: Bacteria; Pseudomonadati; Pseudomonadota; Gammaproteobacteria; Oceanospirillales; Halomonadaceae. The record is from RNAcentral.
CCUACGGGGGGCUGCAGUGGGGAAUAUUGGACAAUGGGGGCAACCCUGAUCCAGCCAUGCCGCGUGUGUGAAGAAGGCCCUCGGGUUGUAAAGCACUUUCAGUGAGGAAGAACGCCUGGUGGUUAAUACCCAUCAGGAAAGACAUCACUCACAGAAGAAGCACCGGCUAACUCCGUGCCAGCAGCCGCGGUAAUACGGAGGGUGCGAGCGUUAAUCGGAAUUACUGGGCGUAAAGCGCGCGUAGGUGGCUUGAUAAGCCGGUUGUGAAAGCCCCGGGCUCAACCUGGGAACGGCAUCCGGAACUGUCAAGCUAGAGUGCAGGAGAGGAAGGUAGAAUUGCCGGUGUAGCGGUGAAAUGCGUAGAGAUCGGGAGGAAUACCAGUGGCGAAGGCGGCCUUCUGGACUGACACUGACACUGAGGUGCGAAAGCGUGGGUAGCAAACAGGAUUAGAUACCCCAGUAGUC